Molecule: small RNA, 78 nt
Rfam family: Mycobacterium sRNA Ms_IGR-2
Source: Rfam
CCGCCGGACACCGGCGUACGAUCGACCGCACGACGGGUUCGGGAGUGACUGAUCCGAAGAACCGGUAAGGGUUGAAAG